This 16677-nucleotide long non-coding RNA is filed under the name Triticum aestivum (bread wheat). RNAcentral's name for it is "long non-coding RNA (TAES_LNC012897)". The record is from RNAcentral. Lineage: Eukaryota; Viridiplantae; Streptophyta; Magnoliopsida; Poales; Poaceae.
UCUGUUCUGAUUGUGUUUUUUAUGUUUUAGUUAGUGUUUGUGCCAAGUAAAGCCUUUAGGAUCUUCUUGGGUGAUUGUUGUUUGAUCUUGCUGAUAAAAACAGAAAGUAUGCGCUCACGAAAAUAAUUAAAAUUUUAUAACAGAGAGCGCUAAAAUACCAAUUCCAACUGCAGUAGAUCAAUAUACUUUUUAUCCUGGUCGUCCUAAUUUUUCAGAAUUUUUGGAGUUACCGAAGUAUUCGAAACAUCCAGAUUGCUACAGACUGUUCUGUUUUUGACAGAUUCUGUUUUUCGUGUGUUGUUUGCUUAUUUUGAUGAAUAUAUGGCUAGUAUCGGGGGGUAUGAACCAUAGAGAAGUUGGAAUAUAGUAAGUUUAACACCAAUAUAAAUAAAUAAUGAGUUCAUUACAGUACCUUAAAGUGCUGGUUUAUUUUCUUAUACUAACGGAGCUCAUGAGAUUUUUUGUUGAAGUUUUGUGUUGUGAAGUUUUCAAGUUUUUGGGUAAAGAUUUGAUUAAUUUUGGAAUAAGGAUGGCAAGAGCCUAAGCUUGGGGAUGCCCGAGGCACCCCAAGGUAAAAUUCAAGGACAACCAAAAGCCUAAGCUUGGGGAUGCCCCGGAAGGCAUCCCCUCUUUCGUCUUCGUCUAUCGGUAACUUUACUUGAGGCUAUAUUUUUAUUCACCACAUGAUAUGUGUUUUGCUUGGAGCAUCCUAUAUGAUUUGAGUCUUUGAUUUUUAGUUUACCACAAUCAUCCUUGCUGUACACACCUUUUGGGAGAGACACCAAUUAAUCGGAAUUUAUUAGAAUACUCUAUGUGCUUCACUUAUAUCUUUUGAGCUAGAUAAUUUUGCUCUAGUGCUUCACUUAUAUAUUUUUAGAGCAUGGUGGUGGUUUUAUUUUAUAGAAAUUAUUGAUCUAUCAUGCUUCACUUAUAUUAUUUUGAGAGUCUCUUAGAACAGCAUGGUAAUUUUCUUUGGCUAUAAAAUUAGUCCUAAUAUGAUGGGCAUCCAAGAUAGGUAUAAUAAAAACUUUCAUAUAAAGCGCAUUGAAUACUAUGAGAAGUUUGAUUCUUUAUGAUUGUUUUGAGAUAUGAAGAUGGUGAUAUUAGAGUCAUGCUAGUUGAUUAGUUGUGGAUUUGAGAGAUACUUGUGUUAAAGUUUGUGAUUCCCGUAGCAUGCACGUAUGGUGAGCCGUUAUGUGAUGAAGUCGGAGCAUGAUUUAUUUUUUGAUUGUCUUCCUUAUGAGUGGCGGUCGGGGACGAGCGAUGGUCUUUUCCUACCAAUCUAUCCCCCUAGGUGCAUGCGUGUAGUACUUUGUUUCAAUAACUAAUAGACUUUUACAAUAAGUAUGUGAGUUCUUUAUGACUAAUGUUGAGUCCAUGGAUUAUACGCACUCUCACCCUUCCACCAUUGCUAGCCUCUCUAGUACCACGCAACUUUCGCCGGUACCAUAAACCCACCAUUACCUUCCUCAAAACAGCCACCAUACAACCUAUUAUGGCAUUUCCAUAGCCAUUCCGAGAUAUAUUGCCAUGCAACUUUCCACCGUUCCGUUUAUUAUGACACGACUCAUCAUUGUGAUAUUGCUUUGCAUGAUCAUGUAGUUGACAUCGUAUUUGUGGCAAAGCCACCUACAUAAUUCUUUCAUACAUGUCACUCUUGAUUCAUUGCACAUCCCGGUACACCGCCGGAGGCAUUCACAUAGAGUCAUAUUUUGUUCUAAGUAUCGAGUUGUAAAUUCUUGAGUUGUAAGUAAAUAAAGUGUGAUGAUCUUCAUUAUUAGGCAUUGUCCCAGUGAGGAAAGGAUGAAGGAGACCAUGAUUCCCCCACAAGUCGGGAUGAGACUCCAGACGAAAAAUAAAAAAAGAAAAGAAAAAAAGAGGCCAUAAAAAAAGGCCCAAAUAAAAAAAGAGAAAAAGAGAGAAGGGGCAAUGCUACUAUCCUUUUACCACACUUGUGCUUCAAAGUAGCACCAUGAUCUUCAUGGUAAAGAGCCUCCUAUGUUGUCACUUUCAUAUACUAGUGGGAAUUUUUCAUUAUAAAACUUGGCUUGUAUAUUCCAAUGAUGGGCUUCCUCAAAUUGCCCUAGGUCUUCGUGAGCAAGCGAGUUGGAUGCACACCCACUUAGUUUCUUGUUGAGCUUUCAUACACUUAUAGCUCUAGUGCAUCCGUUGCAUGGCAAUCCCUACUCACUCACAUUGAUAUCUAUUGAUGGGCAUCUCCAUAGACCGUUGAUACGCCUAGUUGAUGUGAGACUAUCUUCUCCUUUUUGUCUUCUCCACAACCACCAUUCUAUUCCACCUAUAGUGCUAUGUCCAUGGCUCACGCUCAUAUAUUGCGUGAAGAUUGAAAAAGUUUGAGAACAUCAAAAGUAUGAAACAAUUGCUUGGCUUGUCAUCGGGGUUGUGCAUGAUUUAAAUAUUUUGUCUGAUGAAGAUGGAGCAUAGCCAGACUAUAUGAUUUUGUACGGAUAGCUUUCUUUGGCCAUGCUAUUUUGAGAAGACAUGAUUGCUUUAUUAGUAUACUUGAAGUAUUAUUGUUUUUAUGUCAAUAUUAAACCUUUGUUUUGAAUCAUUCGGAUCUGAACAUUCAUGCCACAAUAAAGAAAAUUGCAUUGAUAAAUAUGUUAGGUAGCAUUCCACAUCCAAAAUUCUGUUUUUAUCAUUUACCUACUCGAGGACGAGCAUGAAUUAAGCUUGGGGAUGCUUGAUACGUCUCCAACGUAUCUAUAAUUUUUGAUUGUUCCAUGCUAUUAUAUUAUCUGUUUUGGAUGUUUAAUGGACUUUAAUACGCUCUUCUAUAUUAUUUUUGGGACUAACCUAUUAACUGGAGGCCUAGUGCCAGUUUCUGUUUUUUGCCUAUUUUAGAGUUUCGCAGAAAAGGAAUACCAAACGGAGUCCAAACGGAAUGAAACCUUCGGGAGGAUCUUUCUUGGACCGAAAGCAAACUAGAAGACUUGAAGAUGAAGUCGGAGACGCAAAGAGGCGGCCACGAGGCAGGAGGGCGCGCCCCCCACCCUCGUGGGCUCCUCGUAGCUCCACCGACGUACUUCUUUCGCCUAUAUAUACUCUUAUACCCUAGAUCGAUCAAAGAGAGCCACGAAACCACUUUUCCACCGCCACAACCUUCUGUACCCGUGAGAUCCCAUCUUGGGGCCUUUUCCGACGAUCUGCCGGAGGGGGAAUCGAUCACGGAGGGCUUCUACAUCAACACCGUAGCCUCUGUGAUGAAGCGUGAGUAGUUUACCACACACCUUUGGGUCCAUAGUUAUUAGCUAGAUGGCUUCUUCUCUCUCUUUGAUUCUCAAUACAAAGUUCUCCUCGAUGUUCUUGGAGAUCUAUUCGAUGUAAUACUCCUUUGCGGUGUGUUUGCCGAGAUUCGAUAAAUUGUGGAUUUAUGAACUUGAUUAUCUAUGAAUAUUAUUUGGUUCUUCUCUGAAUUCUUAUAUACAUGAUUUGAUAUCUUUGCAAGUCUCUUCGAAUUAUCGGUUUAGUUUCGCCUACUAGGUUGAUCUUUCUUACAAUGGGAGAAGUGCUUAGCUUUGGGUUCAAUCUUGUGGUGUCCUUUCCCAGUGACAGUAGGGGCAGCAAGGCAUGUAUUGUAUUGUUGCCAUCGAGGAUAAAAAAUGGGGUUUAUAUCAUAUUGCUUGAGUUUAUCCCUCUACAUCAUGUCAUCUUGCUUAAAGCGUUACUCUGUUCUUAUGAACUUAAUACUCUAGAUGCAUGCUGGAUAGCGGUCGAUGUGUGGAGUAAUAGUAGUAGAUGCAGAAUCGUUUCGAUCUACUUGACACGAACGUGAUGCCUAUAUUCAUGAUCAUUGCCUUAGAUAUCUUCAUAACUAUGCGCUUUUCUAUCAAUUGCUCGGGAGUAAUUUAUUCACCCACCGUAAUACAUGCUAUCUUGAGAGAAGCCACUAGUGAAACCUAUGGCCCCCGGGUCUCUUUCUUAUUAGGGUUUUUUACAUCUGUGCCCCUGGUUCCUUAGCUCUACUCAUUCAUCCCCGCGCUCUUAACUUUUGCUCAAUUUUCCCCACUCCCUUGCCAGAAACCCUCAUAACUAGGCACAACGGACGUUGCCGUCGGGUCAAAGGCUUGACCGUUAACUCUGACUAGUGGGGCCAUGCUGGACUGUGUCGUCUGUUCGAGCUGACAAGUGGGGCCGCGUUGGGUGGUUUCGCUGUUGGACCGUUGGGCCAUGGUUUCAUUGGGUCGUCCCUUGCAUUAAACGUCUGCGCGCGCCGCCAGGACAGAAGCCUGCUAUGCAUGCACCCAGCAAAUCCUGCCUGCAUGCGUCGAUCGAGCCUGCAUGCGCCGAUGCCACGAUCCCACGAUGCGCCGACCGAGCCUGCAUGCGCCGAUGCGUCCGCCACGAUGCACUGACCGAGCAGCUUUCUUGGACGCCAGCCGCCACGGAUGCAGCAACGGUCACUGCUGCUGGUUCCUCUCUUCUAGCUAGGUGGCUACAUAUUUGUGGCUUGUGUAAAAAAAGAGCCACUCCCUUGCUUAGUUGUACUCAUUCAUCCCUACUAACAAAGCUUGCUUGCAUGCACUAGGUGGUUACUAACAAGCCGAGCUCUUUAAGAAAAUAAUCAACAAAUAUGUAGUCCCAAUAUGUAGAUAGGGCCAACAAUCCCAUAGCACGAUCACAUAGCUCAAACUAGGAAGAGCUUAAUAAUAGAAUAGAUAGAAAACUUAAUAAUAGAAUUUAAGAAAAGGGCCAACAAGCCCAAAAUAACUCCAACAUAGUUCAAUUACAACUUAACAUAAAAUACACUAAAAAAAGAUAGAGGGUUUAGAACCCUAGCCGCCGCCUUCUCCACCUUGCUCCUCCUCCGGGCACCCUUUUCACUGCUCCUCCGGGGCGUUGUCGAUGGGGUACGAAAGAGUGUGCAUGUGCGUCGCGGUGGGGAAGAUGUUGUUGUACUCCGUGUGGUUGGUGAAAGCGAUGAACUCGGAGCCACACCAAAACACCCGGCCGAGGAGGUAGAAGGCGUCGAAUGUGUUGGUGAAGUGGGCAAGGAGAGCAACCACCACCCGGUUUUGGAUGACCUCCUCGACGCGGAACAUCGUUGGAGAUCCCCUCGGGAGGUGGUGGUAGCCGGACGCGAGGAAGAACUCGGUGAAGUUCCUUGCGGUCCGCAGCCUUGAUAUCGCCCACAAACGUAGUGAACGUACACGCCGGUAGGGUAGAGCCUCUCCGGCACAGUGGGUGGGAAGCGGUAGGUUGGUCCAGUGUACUGCAUGGCUGAGGGAUGUGCAGAAGACGGAGAAGGGGUCGAAGAGCAAGAAGGGCAGAUGGAUGAGGGAUGGCAGAGGUACAGGGUGGCUUAAAUAGCCGUACUGCUACGUGUUAUUUGGCUGUGGCAAUAACGGGGUCAAAUGUGAAGUAACCCGUCUUCAAACCCACCGCAACAUCGGGAGUGUACACGCGUGGGAAACGGUGGUUUGAAAAAGAAGAAGAAGAAGAAGAAAAAGAAGCUAAUUGCACGUGUGGGAAUCCGUGGUCAUAUAUAUAUAUAUAUAUUAUAUGAACAAAAAGAGACAAUUUUUGAAUAGUUUGUGGCCAUUUUGCAUGAUAAAGAUAAAUUUGGCCCUUAAAAUUGGUCAUUUGCUACGCAAUGUCAAUUGAUUUCAAACGAUGCAAAAAUACAGAGCCAGCACGUUCACAAAAAACAGAGCAAACGAUGCAAAAAACGAUGCAAAAAUACAGAGCCAGCACGUUCACAAAAAAUAGAGCAAACGAUGCAAAAAAAACGACGCAAUUCGACGGCCCAACCAGAGUUUGGUUUCCUUUUGGGCCCAAUAACUUUUUUCACAGAGUCAGUGGUGGGCGAGCAGCCGAGCACAACGAAUAGGAUCGCCUCUCGCGGAUCGCCCCACGAUCCAACGAUGCAGAGCCGUCCUUGUGAUCCAACGACGCGGAGCCUGCACACAGCCAGCCCACCUAGUUCUUUCUAGAAGGCCAGAUCUGAGGGCUGUCGCUUGGCACGCGGACGGCUGACGUUGGGAGCUAGGGUUAGGCGAAAUCCCGCGGGGUUUAGAGGGGUUUUGAGCUGGUCCACGGGGUUUUGAAGGCUUUGACUGAGCAUAACUAAUUUAAAAAAACGAAAAAAAUAUGAAACCUUCGCCGUGCAUCGUUUUAUAAGACACACUGACGAGGAAAAAUACUAAACUUGGUCUAUGGUCAUUUUCAUGAAAAAACCGUAGUUGGCACGAUCAAGGUCAAAUGAGCACCGUUAAUUUAAAAAAAUCAAAAAAAAUAUAAAACAUGCGCACAAUGUUGCCUUAUGUGACAUGUUACCAACCAAAAAUACUAAACUUGGUCUAUGGUCAUUUUCAUGAGAAAACCUUCACAAAUAUGAGCUAUCACCUACAUGAUUUCACAGAGUUCAAGGAGAGGAGGUGGUGUUACCUUUUGUUUUUUGAAAAAUCACUAAACCUUUAUUUUAAAGUGAAUAAGAAGGAUCUGAAGUUAUUUUUCCAUUUUCAUAUUUCAAAACUUGGCCUAUAGUUUUUAUAUUAAUGUUGUCUUAUGUGACAUGUUACCGACCAAAAAUCAUAAACUUGUCCUAUGGUCAUUUUCAUGAGAAAACCUUCACACAUAUGAGCUAUCACCUACAAGAUUUCAAAAAAUAUGAAGAUUAAUUCAAUAGGUGUUAAUAAAAAACAUUUGGCUCAUUUAGAGUAGGUCCAAAAAAACUUUAUUACAAAUGGGUUGUUUACCCUAGCCUGGGAGCUUAUUUGGAGCACAUUUCUCAAAUUCAAAUUUCUUUGACCUCCUCUAAAUCACCUCAAAUUUUGCACACAUGAUCUCCUACACAAACAUAGAUAGUUGAUAAUACAUCUUCAUUAAAAUGUUGUUUUUUGCUCUGUUAUUGGAAUAUUUGAUAAAAGGGAACCCUUGAUAAAAUGAUGGACUGCAGCAUAUGUGUGAUCAUUGCAGCACCUGAACUUUCAAAACACUGAAACAAAUCAUAGCAGAUAAAUUUAAAAACACAAAAAUACCCAACAUAGAUAGCCACAUGCUUAUAAAAUUCAUCCAACCACCAAAAGGUAACCCACAUCCUCUUCACAAACAUAGUUCACCCACAUAGUUCAGCAAACAACCUAAAGUACUUAAAACACAUCAUAACAUCAGGGAAGGGGAGACAGGACUUUGGCUAGGGCAGCAUGCUGCCCCAUGAUCUUGUAGUCCUCGCCAUGGAUGGCCACAUCUUCUGCAUGAUCUAGAAGGUGAACGAAGCGGCUGGACUUUGGCUUUGGCUUGGUGGUGCAGUAGGGGCAGCACCAAGUUUUGGUCUUGCUCUUGUAGUAGUAGUCCAUGCCCUUGAUCCUGAUCUUCUCCUCUUCCUUCUCUUUGAAGGAGGCGAAGUUGCCGCGGUCCACAUCCACAUCUUCCCCAGAUACAUACUGCACACACGAAUGAAUUACAUUAGUACAUUAUAGAUUCAUGGGAAUACACCAUGUCAAACGAACUAAAUGAACAAUCUAAAUUUCAAGUAGGCUUACCUCAUACUCUUCGUCGUCACCAUACGCUGGAUCCUACGGGUCGUCGAAAUUAUAGUCUAUCUUCCUCCUCUUCCCCCUACCAUCAUCCUCCUGAAUAUACAAUUACAUCCAUCACUAGUCCUAUUUGCAUUUUCCAUUGUCAUGCACACACAUUGAACAACAGAGCUAAUAUAACUACAUAUUGUGGACAUAUUGUGAACAACAGAGCUAAUAUAACUUGAAUCAAAUAACUUGAGUAGCAUUAAAAAACCCAAUCUGUGAGCACUAAAAACAAAUCUAAUAAGCAUCAUAGCAUUAAAAACCCCAAUCUGUUCACAACAUCUAGCAUUUUCGCAACGAAUUUAUCCAAAUCUAAAAACCAAUCAUUGCAGCACCUAAAAUCAUAGUUCACAACAUCUAGCUAGCAUUUUUGCAACGAAUUUAUCCAAGAAACCCUAGUCCAAAAACCCCCACCCCCCCAACCCAUACAAAAAACCCCGGCCCAUCCGUCAAACCAACUACUCUAACCAUCUGAACUACUGUAUGAAUCACAAUCGAACUAACUCUACAAGCUAAGCAAGUGCAAAUACCUGCUCCUCCACGGCAGGCGGCGCAACGGGGGCAUCGGGAUGGACUGUGCCGCUCGACGCCAUCACCUUCUGCAGCGAUGAGGCGGAGCCCGCCACAUCCGCAGCGGUUGCGAGUUUCCCCGCACCGCCAUGGACGCCGCCGACAUCCGCGGUCACCGCGCCCUGACCCUGCAGCUCCACCACAUCUCCGGCCGCUGCGCCGGCGUCGCCACGAGCGUCGGCCAUCUGACAGAUGGAGGCGAUGAAGGUGAGGAAGAGGAUGUGGUGGGGCAGAGCAAGACAGUGUGGUGGAGGCAGUGCAGGAGAGCAAGACGACGCCGGUGGGGGAGAGGAAGAUGAUGCGGCAGCGAGGGGAUUUGGGGGAAAAUGGUAGGGGCGAUGGAGGUGGUUGCCCUCUUUACAUGAUGGGACGUUUCGGGCAUGUCCAUGGACACGUGCUACCCCACGACCACGGUCUUGCAUGCGCCCACGUAUACGCGGCCCCACUCGUCAGCUAACGGUCAAAGCAAUUGACCCGACGGCAACGUCCGUUAUAACCAGUUAUGAGGGUUUCGGGCAAGGGAGUGGGGAAAAGUGAGCAAACGUUAACAGAGUGGGGAUGAAUGAGUAGAGCUAAGGAACCAGGGGCACAGAAAUAAAAAUCCCUUCUUAUUAUAUUGCAUCUCUUUUAUUUACAUCGCAUCUCGUUUACUAUUUUGCAAUCUUUACUUUACAAUCUAUACAACAAAAAUACCAAAAAUAUUUACUUUACUAUCUUUAUUAGAUCUCACUUUUGCGAGUGACCAUGAAGGGAUUGACAACCCCUUUAUCGCGUUGGUUGCAACGUUCUUGAUUGUUUGUGCAGGUACUAGGUGACUUGUGUAUUGUCUCCUACUGGAUUGAUACCUUGGUUCUCAAAAACUGAGGAAAAUACUUACGUUACUUUGCUGCAUCACCCUUUCCUUUUCAAGGGAAAACCAACGCAUGCUCAAGAGGUAGCAUGGCCACAAGCAUAGCAAGCAUCAUCAAAAAGGGACAUUUCAAAUGAAUCAACGGGAUCAUAGCAAUUAUCAUAGCAUUCAUCCUUCGGUAAGAGCGAAGGAACAUUAAAAAAUGUAUGAGUUGGAGGGGUACUCUUAUUAGAAGGUGGGCACGGGUGAUCAAUUCGUUCUUCCUUCGCUUAUUCUUCGCUCUCCUCAUCAUCUUUUUCAUCCAAUGAGCUCACAGUUUCAUCAAUUCCUUCUUCCAUAGACUCCUGCAAAAUAUUAGUCUCUUCUUGGAUAGCGAAGACUUUCUCAAUAAACACAUCAAUAUCGUAAUUGCAUUUAUAAUUAUCAUAGCAAUAUUUAAGGAUAGCAAAAAUUUCAGGUCUAUAAACUUAAUCAUCAAAAUCUUCAAACUUUUCAAACAAAGAUUCAAUUUCAUAAGCACCCUUAAAAGCAACAACUUCUUCUAUUCGUUCCACAUCAUAAUAAUCAUAUAUACCAUUAUCAUAAGAAGCCAAGGUUUCAUUAUCAUUAAAUUCACAUGAAAAGGGAAGAUGUGGAGCAUUCAUCCUAGAGCAACAAGUAAAAUCAUAUCUCUGACAUAAAUUCCAAGCAUACCAAUGCAACGAAUAAAUUUGAUCCCAUAAAAGUUUCCCUUUUUGUGUCAACCGAUAAUCCCUAAAGUAUUCACGUUGAUCCAACAUUACUCCCAUUAUCAUGUUGAAUGGGGUUUUCUCAGGAUUAUCAAAGUAGUGCAUAAUAUCUUUUACAUAACGAGCAUCGAGGGUUUUAGGAGGUUACCCAUCUCCAUGAGUAGCAAGUACCACUAAUUUCUUUGGUGUUUCGUGUUCGAUAUCCAUAACUAAAGAUAGAGAACAACUUAGAACAAUAAAUAAAAACUACUUAGUGAUAAAGCAAACAAGCACACACGAGAAUAUUCACCCCACGCUAUUCCUCCCCGGCAACGGCGCCAGAAAAAGGUCUUGAUAACUCACAAGUAUAGGGGAUCGUUUGUAGCCUUCUUCAAUAAAUAAGAGUGUCGAGCCCAACGAGGAGCUAAAGGCAGAACAAACAUUCCCUCAAGUUCUAUCGACCACCGAUACAACUCUAUGCACACUUGACGUUUGCUUUAUCGGAGACAAGUAUGAAACUAUUUUGUAGGUGUGAUGCUAGAACUAAUUUGCAAGAAUAAAAUGAGAAGUACUUGCAAGAUAAUAAAAUUUAGGUGUAUAGUAAAAAGGUUUGUGUCAACAAGAAAGUUAUUUGUCCCUAGGCAAUCAAUAACAAGUACUGGUAAUCAUUCUUGCAACUUUAUAUGAGGGAGAGGCAUGAGCUAACAUACUUUCUCUACUUGGAUCAUAUGCACUUAUGAUUGGAACUCUAGCAAGCAUCCGCAACCACUAAAGAUCAUUAAGGUCGUGAAACCCAACCAUAGCAUUAAGUAUCAAGUCCUCUUUAUUCCCAUACGUCAUACCCCACCUACUCGGGUUUAAGUUUCUGUCACUCUCGCAACCCACCGUAAGUGAACCAUGAACAUAUUGCAACACCCUACAGCGGAGGCCCCUCACGUUUGCGUGAGAACGGAGGGCACGGUAGGACAGCACCAUAAAUAAAUUAUACAAUCAUACCAACCAAGAUCACGAUUAACCCAUAGGACAAAACGGAUCUACUCAAACAUCAUAGGAUAACCAUAGAUCAUUGGGAAAUAAUAUAUGGAGUUGAGCACCAUGUUUAAGUAGAGAUUACAGUGGGGAGAAGAGGUGUUACACCGCUGCAUAGAGGGGGAGAGAGUUGGCGUUGACGGUAGCAAGAUUGUUGAUGUAGAUCGCCGUCCCGAUCGUUGCCCCGGUGGCACUCCGGCGCCACCGGAAGCGAGGGGGAGAGAGCCCCCCUACUCCUCCUUCAUCCUUGGCCUCCCCCUAGAUGGGGAGGAGAGUUCCCCCUAUGGUCCUUGGUCUCCAUGGCCGCGGAGGGGUGGGAGCCCCUCCGAGAUUGGACCUCCCUCUCUGUUCUCUUCUGUUUCGCGUUUUUAGAUCUGGCCGAAAACCGUUUCUUACAUUCCCGGAGAUCCGUAACUCCGAUUGCGCUGAAAUUUUAACAUGAUUUUUCUCCGGAUAUAAGCUUCCUUGCGCCCGAAGUAGAGUCCAACCAACGUACAGGGUGAGCACAACGCACCACCGCACGCCUGGCUCCUCUGGCGCGUCCUGGUGGGUUGUGCCCUCCAAGGGCCUCCGUUUGCGGUGAUUCCAACUCCCAAAAAUCACAUAUAUUCCAAAAUAAUUCUCCGUGAAAUUUUAUUGCAUUUGUACUUCAUUUGAUACGGAUACUCUGCGAUACAAAAAACAUGUAGAAAACAGGAAUUGGCACUGGGCACUAGAUCAAUAGGUUAGUCCAAUAAAUCAUAUAAAAAGUUGCCAAAAUUAUGUAAAAAUUGUAUAAUAUUGGCAUGAAACAAUCAAAAAUUAUAGAUACGACGAAGACGUAUCAGACAUCUAGUGAAUUUUGCCAUGCAAAUUCACCAAAAAAAUUGCCAUGGUAAGAAAAGUUUGACAUCGUCUUGAAAGAAGGAAGUUGCCAUGGCAAGAAAAGUUUGACAUCGGCUUGGAAAAAGGAACUUGCCAUGGGCAUGUAAGUGAAUUUGCCGUGGAACAUCUACUGAUGAAGUUUGAAAUCGUCUUGAAAAAAGAAGUUGCCAUGGCAAGAAAAAGUUUGACAUCGGCUUGAAAAAAGAAACUUGCCAUGGGCAUGUAAGUGAAUUNNNNNNNNNNNNNNNNNNNNNNNNNNNNNNNNNNNNNNNNNNNNNNNNNNNNNNNNNNNNNNNNNNNNNNNNNNNNNNNNNNNNNNNNNNNNNNNNNNNNNNNNNNNNNNNNNNNNNNNNNNNNNNNNNNNNNNNNNNNNNNNNNNNNNNNNNNNNNNNNNNNNNNNNNNNNNNNNNNNNNNNNNNNNNNNNNNNNNNNNNNNNNNNNNNNNNNNNCUUGAAAAGAGAAACUUGCCAUGGCAAGAAAAGUUUGACAUCGGCUUGAAAAAAACAAACUUGCCAUGGGCAUGUUAGUGAAUUUGUCGUGAGACAUCUAGUAAAUUUUGCCAUGCAAAUUCACAAAAAAAAUUGCCAUGGGCAUGUUAGUGAAUUUGUCGUGAGACAUCUAGUAAAUUUUGCCAUGCAAAUUCACAAAAAAAAAUUGCCAUGGUAAGAAAAGUUUGACAUCGUCUUGAAACAAGAAAGUUGCCAUGGCAAGAAAAGUUUGACAUCAGCUUGAAAAAAGAAACUUGCCAUGGGGAUGUAAGUGAAUUUGCCGUGGAACAUCUAGUGAUGAAGUUUGAAAUCGUCUUGAAAAAAGAAGUUGCGAUGGCAAGAAAAAGUUUGACAUCGGCUUGAAAAGAAAAACUUGCCAUGGCAAGAAAAGUUUGGCAUCGGCUUGAAAAAACAAACUUGCCAUGGGCAUGUUUGUGAAUUUGUCGUGGGAGGUCUAGUGAAUUUGCCAUGGCGAAUUCACUGAAAAAAAAUUGCCAUGGUAAGAAAAGUUUGACAUUGUCCUGUAAAAUUGCCAUGAUGAUCUACUAAAAAUUCGCCAUUGUCUUGGAAAUUAAAGUAAAUUUGACAUGCAAAUACUCCCUCCUUCCAUCUAUAUAGGUCCAAAUGCGUUUUUCGAGGCUAACUUUGACCAAGUGUUAGAGCAAUAAUAUAUGACAUGCAAGUUACACAAAGCAUACCGUCAAAUUCGUACGUGAAAGGAGCUUCCAAUGGUAUAAUUUUCACAUUAUACAUCUCAUGUAUUAUUAAUCUUAUCAAUAGUCAAAAGCGGUCUUGAAAAACACAUUAGACCCUAUAUAGAUGGAAAGAGGGAGUACAUGAAACUAUAAUUUACCAUGGUGUAUAAACUAAAUUUGUAGUUGUCAAUUACUAAAUUUACCAUGAUCAAAAUGAAAAUAAAAUUGCCAUGCUUAAUUAACGAGAAAAUAACAUUUGCCAUGAUUUGUUAACUAAAUUUGCCUUGGUUAAAAUACUAAAAUAACCAUGAUCAAUGAAAUAAAUUUGCCAAGGUUAAUAAAAAUGAAAUUUACCAACUUUAUCAGUAGUAGCGUCGAUUUACAAAGGAACAAAGUGCGAACAAAAUUACUUAGAUGAGUUUCAGAGUCAUGCAUAGCCAUCAAUUAUACCAUGAACCCACACAAACAUUAGUUGACGAAACAUAUUGCAUCUAGAAUCCUGCGACACUAGCAAUAACAAAUGAAAAAUCUUCUGUUGGUACCUGUCGCAGUCUAUGGUGCCCUUGGCAUUGAACCUGACCCCCAGCGCAAGAUCCUGCUACCAACCAAGCCCAUCAGACCCCAGCGCAAGAUACUGCUCACCGCAUAUCAGACCCCCGCACACGAGAGCAGCAGACCAGCCGGCCGCGCACAAGCUGCUCGACGAAUUGCACCCAGGAGAGGAGGGCGGGCCUGGUAGAGGCGGGCGAAGAUGGUAUCCUGGUGGAGGAGGCGACACUCGGUCGAUUGGGUGCACGACACGGCCGUCUCGAGCUCCCUGGUGGCGCAACGACUUGCUUGCACAGAAGAUGAUGCAAGACUGCGCGCGCAGUGCGCCUCCACGCGCUCGAGCCAGGCGCCGCGUGCUCGGCUCCCUCGUCGUCGCCACCGCCGCCGCCGACCUUGAGGAGGAUCAUUGGAGAGUGAGAGGGGGACGGGGUAUGGCAAAGGUUGCUGGCCACCAGCGUCCAUGGCCUCCACCCGCAAAAAUCCGGAGCUCCCUCAUCGAUGGACGGAGGCGGGGAACGGCAGGGCAAGUGGAAGCGGGCUGCGGGGGCCGCCGGAACUGGCCAUAGAGGGUGUGGCGGGCCUGGCCACAGUUGAGCUCGAGCUCGAGGUGAGCCCGCGAGAUCCCAUGGAGGGAGAUUCACUCUUCGCCGACGAGAGGACGCCGCCGGGGAGGACUCCAUCGCGCCCCCCCCCCCCUCCCCCCCACAUCNNNNNNNNNNNNNNNNNNNNNNNNNNNNNNNNNNNNNNNNNNNNNNNNNNNNNNNNNNNNNNNNNNNNNNNNNNNNNNNNNNNNNNNNNNNNNNNNNNNNNNNNNNNNNNNNNNNNNNNNNNNNNNNNNNNNNNNNNNNNNNNNNNNNNNNNNNNNNNNNNNNNNNNNNNNNNNNNNNNNNNNNNNNNNNNNNNNNNNNNNNNNNNNNNNNNNNNNNNNNNNNNNNNNNNNNNNNNGCAGCGCACGCACGAGCCGCUGGGAUGACGUGGCCAGCCGGGAGCGUCAAGAUGUGUGUGUUUCGAUCCAAUGGCAAUGAGCACCUUCGGAACGAGAAGCUAAAACGUGGCACUUUCGGGAUUUAUUGAUUCCGUUCUGAAUUGCCAGCCUCAUAUAAACCUAUGUGAAACUCUCUGUACAUACUCAGGAGCGAUCUUCUACAGCCGUUGGAUGCACCCAUCAGAGGGGUUCCUGGCCGUUAAUCACGCUCUAGCUCAGAGGUGAGAAUGCCAUCAACCAGACUGAAGUGCUUGCCUCCUUAUCGGUAAAGGAUGCAGCGGUACCAGCCUAUAGAACAGAUCUUGUUCAUGUAAGAGCAACUCCAAUGGGAAUACCCAUUUCGUCCACCGCCGUCCGUUUGGGCUAGCGCGGACAAGAACGACGGCCCAAUGCAGAAACCCAUUUUUAUUUUGUGUCCGCACGGACCCAUUUCCGCCUCAAAUUUGAGACACAUUUGGUCUGAAGCGGACACAAAGCGGACGCUUUCUGCGUCUCUCUCGUCCGCCUCCGCCCGAUGCCGGUCCUGCGUGCCCCACCUGCCAUCCACUCACAUAAUAUUUUUUCUCUCUCCCCUCUCUCUCGCGCUAGCCAUGACACAGGUGCUGCCACGCCGCCGCGCUCGCCCUGCUCGGACGCCGCCGUGCUGCCACGCUCGCCCUGCCGGGGGCAAUACAAGCAUCCACGCGAGCUAGCUAGCUUAGUUGCAUGGAUGCCGGCCUUUGCAUGGCGCCCCAUCCUAGCUAUCUAGCUAGCUUCGAUGCAUUGUCGACGCCGGCUCGUGGCGGCGCUCGAGCCACUCGCAUGCCAUUCUGCACUUCCGCCAUGGCUCGGAAGCUCGCUUGCAUGCCUCGGCCACGUCGCCGCUCGCGUCUGACCCGGCCUCGCCUUGCCACGCAGCCUCACGAGCUUGCCAUGGCCUCGUCCCGCCACGCAGAGCGGCCGCCUCUGUCGCUCACGCGCUCGUUCCGGCCUCACCCCACACGCAGCAGGAGCAACAGCUCGCGUGCCCGACCCGGCCUCGCCCCGCCCCGCAGCAGGACGAGCUCGCCAUGGCUCGGGAGCGAACGCGCCCGGCAUGGCCGCGCCCCACCACGCAGUAGGAGCUCGCACGCCCGGCACGGCCGCGCCCCGCCGCGCAGCAGGAGCGCGCAGGCCGGGGCAGAGCAGCGGCGAGCUGCGGCGCGGAGGGGCCUAGCUAGCGCGGCGGCCACGAGCUGUGGUGGGCGGGGCGCGAUCUGUGGCGGGCGGAGCGAGCUAGCGAGGCGGCUGCGGCCGUCGCUGGGCCGGGACGAGCCGCGGCGGGCACGGCGAGUGUCGGGCCCGGGGCCAGGGUGAGCGGGCGCCGGGGAUACGCAGGGCGCAUGAGAGCUGCAGCACGGGAGCCGGGCGGGGCGACGCGGGAGCUCGUUCAUCAGGUGUUCGACUAAAUCCUGACGCGGACAUGCACAAAAUGCGUCUGCCCUACGUUGGGCGUAUAGACAGACCGACCUAAACGAAAAAACGGACACGGAUGGGCCACCCAAACAGACAAAAAAGACAAAAACGAUGUCCAUUUGGAUCGACCCAUUCUAAACUGGUUUUGGCGUCGCCUGAACCAGCGAGAUGGGACUAAUCGCAGCGGCAUGCAGCAGCGCUGCGCUUCCUCUGUCAGCUUUGGAAUGAGGGGCACGGCCCGUGACCCGUGUAUGUGCGCACAUUGCUCAAAGAAAAAGUAGCUCAGCCCAUCUGAAAAAUAUUUGCCUCUCGCGCUUUCCACUCGUUCUCUGUUCCUUCCUGUCGCAAUCAAACGUGGAAGUACUUCUUUGUUAAACAACCAGUGGUACUUCAAAACUGGCCCAAGUGAAGGUGGUUUGGAGAAAUUGAUACCUCCAGCCACUUGUUUUUAUCUCCAUUAUGAACUGUUUUUUUCUAGACAACUUUAUCAUUACUCGAUCAAUUCCUUUCUACAGAACUUUAUCAUUACUCGAUCAAUUCCAUUUUUAAAAAUGCUAGUAGAUCAAAAUAGGAUGCAGCAACAACCAGAAACUAUUCACAACUGAAAGAGGCCACAAAAUAAAUUUAGCUGAGCUUGAUUUUCCAACAGAAGCGAGUACGGCUGAAAGAGGCAAACACAGAGGUAUAGAUAAAACUGCAUCAUCUAUUCUUCACAUAAAGUUCCGAUGCGAAUCCAUCCGGCUAUAUAAUAACAAAACGAAAAAACAUCAGAAGGAAGUAACAGCAGCAGCAAAGAGAGUUCUCUACAACUCGGCCAACAGACUAAUAACAGCAAGUCUCCGGUGUCUGCGAAUAAACCCGACCACCCCCAACCCCAACACAAAGUAAGUAGCACCAAUUAUCCAUGUCUCCUCUCCCUACUAACCCAUUACAAAAAUUGGUUCCCCUUUAAACCCAUCUAC